CGCGCGCUCUCUCGCACGAUCUGCUCCCGGACUCCUUCAGCGCGCUGCCUGCCUGCCCAGGGCCUUCCCGGAGAGCAGGUGACGGCGGCCUCCGGGCAUGGAGCUCGCGCUGACGAAAGGUUCUGGAAGCCGCCGUAAAAAGAACAAGGUCUCACCAUGCUGCCCAAGCUGGUCUGAAAACUCUUGUCCUCAGGCAGUCCUCCCACCUCGGCCUCCCAAAGAUCUGAGAUUACAGGCAUGAGCCACCACACCUGGCCUUGGUUUUAAUUCCUGUCACAGUAUAUUAGUUUUCGCUGUUGUGUAUUGAUUGAUUGAGACAGGGUCUCGCUCUGUUGCCCAGGCUGGAGUGCAGGGGCAUGAUCCCAGCUCACUGCAACCUCCACCUCUUGGAUUCAAGUGAUUCUCCCGUCUCAGCCUCCCGAGUAACAGGAACCACAGGUGUGUGCCAGCACGCCUGGCUAAUUUUUUUUUUUUUUUUCUUGAGGUGGAGUUUCACUGUUGUUGCCCAGGUUGGAGUGCAGUGGCACAAUCUCAGCUCACUGCAACCUCUGCCUCCUGGGUUCAAGUGAUUCUCCUGCUUCAGCCUCACGAGUUGUUGGGAUUACAGGCGCCCGCCACCACGCCCAGGUAAUUUUUGUUUAGUAGAGACGGGGUUUCACCAUGUUGGCCUGGCUGGUCUCGAACUCCUGACCUCAGGUGAUCCACCCACCUCGGCCUCCCAAAGUUGUGGGAUUGCAGGCGUGAGCCACUGCGCCUGGCCUAAUUUUUCAAUUUUUUGGUGGAGAUAGGGUUUCACCAUGUUGGCCAGGCUGGAGUUUUGCCUGUUCUAGAAGCUUGUAUCAGUCAUACAACACCCCUUUGAGGAACCGUUUGAGGUGUGGCACGAUACAGCAAGUCAGCUGCCAAAGAGGGGCUUAGCCACAGGAAGUGCGUGCCCAGAACGCAUCUCCCGUGUCCCUCACAGCAGUUCUAUGAGGCUGGCUGCCCUGUUUGACAACUGAGGCCCGCAUCUUCCCCGGAAUCACCGACGUGUGGCUCUGAGCCCUGUCCCAGGGAUUUUCUCCAUCAGAGAAGAGGAGCACUUUGAGCUUUGAGAGGAGCAGCCCUCUGCAAGUGAAGUGGAAAAAAAGGAAGCAGGCGAGGAGGCCCAUCCAGACCCUCCCCCAAGACCCUUGCUGAAAUGGCUGGGAUGCGGCGUGCAGAAGCUCUCCUUUCCUUCACAGCCCCUGGCUUUCCAAGAGUCCCUGCCCACCCAGAUGCCCGCUGGCAGAUGCAGCCUCAUCUCAAGGACACUGCUUGCUGGAUAAAUCCCUCACCACCCUAGAGACAGCCCACGGUCCUGAGACAAGGAUGCGGGCCAGGCUUGUUGCACGUAAGCGCCUCCCGCAGAAACCAGUGAGGCCGGAGUUCCAGAGGAAAUGAUGUAGGGACAGAGGCAGAGGGCCUCCAGGAGGCACCAGCCCCAGAGUCUUCCCUAGAAUCAGACUUUAAGCACAAGCAGGGAGGGAAAGCACUUGAGCAGUGCCCGUCCCUGCAUACCUGGCCUCUGCUGGAACCCAUGCAGGGACAGGACACUUCUUUAUCAGCAAUCCUGUUCCUCUCCUGGGCAGCUUCAACCUGAACAUCCUCCUUCACCUUGAGCUAAAAUGGGUUUCUUGUCACCCUUGCCCAUCAAACCUGGCCUUGCCCUCAGGAACCACACAGGACAAGCCUAAUACUUCCUUCUUGUGGCAACACUUUAGCAAUUGAGACCUGGCUGUCAGGUCCUCCAAAUAAACAUUUGUGACUGUGAUGUUGACUUGCCGCUUCUGGGGACCUCUUCUCAUUUGAUCGGAGAAAGUUUUUCAGGGUUAAACCUACUUCUUUCCCCCAAGAAACUCUUCUUGUCAGGCUCACGCCUAUA
This 1903-nucleotide long non-coding RNA is filed under the name Homo sapiens (human). Its description in RNAcentral is "long intergenic non-protein coding RNA 1569". Lineage: Eukaryota; Metazoa; Chordata; Mammalia; Primates; Hominidae. The record is from RNAcentral.